CUACGCACUCCUACGGGAGGCAGCAGUGGGGAAUAUUGCACAAUGGGCGCAAGCCUGAUGCAGCCAUGCCGCGUGUAUGAAGAAGGCCUUCGGGUUGUAAAGUACUUUCAGCAGUGAGGAAGGUGGGUAUGUUAAUAGCAUAUUCAUUUGACGUUAGCUGCAGAAGAAGCACCGGCUAACUCCGUGCCAGCAGCCGCGGUAAUACGGAGGGUGCGAGCGUUAAUCGGAAUUACUGGGCGUAAAGCGCAUGCAGGUGGUUUGUUAAGUCAGAUGUGAAAGCCCGGGGCUCAACCUCGGAAUUGCAUUUGAAACUGGCAAACUAGAGUACUGUAGAGGGGGUAGAAUUUCAGGUGUAGCGGUGAAAUGCGUAGAGAUCUGAAGGAAUACCGGUGGCGAAGGCGGCCCCCUGGACAGAUACUGACACUCAGAUGCGAAAGCGUGGGGAGCAAACAGGAUUAGAUACCCUGUAG
This 470-nucleotide ribosomal RNA is filed under the name uncultured bacterium. RNAcentral describes it as "bacterial SSU rRNA". It matches the Rfam family "Bacterial small subunit ribosomal RNA", at positions 329 to 793 of the family's 1533-position model. The record is from RNAcentral.